CAGUUUGUCUUUUCCAACAAC
RNAcentral lists this small RNA (21 nucleotides) under Arabidopsis thaliana (thale cress). RNAcentral's name for it is "ATSL110410". Lineage: Eukaryota; Viridiplantae; Streptophyta; Magnoliopsida; Brassicales; Brassicaceae. The record is from RNAcentral.